This 754-nucleotide small RNA is filed under the name Pan troglodytes (chimpanzee). RNAcentral's name for it is "processed transcript". The record is from RNAcentral. Lineage: Eukaryota; Metazoa; Chordata; Mammalia; Primates; Hominidae.
GAGUUCUGGACAGCAGAGACUACAGAUUGGGUCAUAGUUUUGCCCAGAGCCUUCCCACUGAUGCAUAUGGUGGGGUCCUCACGUUCCUCUUCCUCCAGCAUUCACCAUAGCCACACAAAGCUGAGUAGCCCCUUCCUUUUAUACCUUUAACAUUCAUUAACUCAGACUUCUGAGGGACCACCUCUGUGGCAGUGGGGCAGUGAUGUGCUGGUGAAGGCACAAGACCAGGAAACUGGUUUGACUCUGGGCUCUAUGACCUUGGGCAAAUCAUGCCCCUCCCUUCCCAUCGGGCUUCAGCCUCAUACUCUGUAAAGUAAAGGACCUCAUCUAUUCCAGCCCAGUGGACACAGCUCACAAGGUACUGAAUAGCCUGAGGACCUUCCUGAGGAGGAAUGAGGAUAUCCAAGUGGGCGGUCUUAUCCGAGGCCACUUCCUGCUGAUCCUGCAGCGUCUGCUAGUGGAGCAUGGGGCAUCCCCAUCAGGAGCCUCGGGGAACCUACCAUUGCUGCUGAGCCUCCUCUCCCUGAUGCAGCUCAGGAAUGUGUCAGAGCAAGAACUGGACAGCGUGGCCAUGAAGCUCCUUCACCAAGUAAGCAAGCUGUGUGGGAAGUGCAGCCCCACUGACGUGGACAUCCUGCAGCCCUCCUUCAACUUCCUGUAUUGGAGCCUUCAUCAGACCACACCCAGCAGUCAGAAAAGAGCUGCUGCAGUGCUCCUGAGCAGCACAGGCCUGAUGGAGCUUCUGGAGAAGAUG